Long non-coding RNA from Halichondria panicea, 1711 nucleotides. RefSeq lists it as uncharacterized. The transcript has 6 exons. The record is from RefSeq and is a predicted model, not a curated record. NCBI's taxonomy places the organism in Eukaryota, Metazoa, Porifera, Demospongiae, Suberitida, Halichondriidae.
GUUGAUAAGAUCUACAUGGGAAGGAAGUACAUGAGAAGUACAUGGGAAAAGUGCCUCAGAGCAGGUAUACUAUGGGACUUAGUGUACCUGCAAAUUUACUUAGUAUACCUAGUAUUCCGUUGUCAGUAUUGUAGUCAAGCAGUUUGCGCAUGCGCACUAGUAUCUAAAUGAGUUAGAUACUGUUUUGUCGGUGUCCAUGUACCCUCGCUACGCUCGGGAUACUAAAUCAGUGCCUUUGGGCUUCUAAAUCCCAUAGACACCUCCAAAACAGUGUCUAACUAUUAUUUAGACACUAGUUGAUAAGAUCUACAUGGGAAGUACAUGGGAAAAGUGCCUCAGAGCAGGUAUACUAUGGGACUUAGUAUACCUGCAAAUUUACUAGUAUUCCGUUGUCAAGUAAUUGUAUUGUAGUCAAGCGGUUUACUAGACGCUGUUUUGUCGGUGUCCUCCAUGUGAUUUAGAAGCCCUCAGCCACUUUAGUACCCGUGCCUUUGGGCCCAUAGACACCUCCAAAACAGUGUCUAACUAUUAUGUAGUGCCCAAGGGUGGUAGAGAUAGUCCGAUUGAUUGUACUGCAAACAAUCUUAUCUUAUGUAUCUUCAUUUACCCCUUGUGUUUGCUAUAGAUGUACCAAACAGAACUUAACUUCCCAAAGGCGGAAGAGGCAGUGAGGAGAAAGCAGUUACUAAUCUUGCCUUCGUAAUACUACUUAUUAUUAUAUCCUUUGCUAUUCAGGUUAGCGAAACCCCUGCGACACCUAGAAAGGAAUCGGCUAUUGUGUUACUGUGAACCAAACUGACUUCGAUGUUGCAGUUAGCAAUAAGAACAAACUUUUUUUUUCCAACUUUCAAAAUUAUACUUUCUUUCUAUCAGACAGUAAAGAUGAUCACCGCACAACACAAUUCACUGCACAACACAAUGGCGAAGUCAAACUAAAGAGAUGCCCGUCACUUUUCUCUUCUGGAAUGUCUUGGACUCACCCCUGUGUAAAGAUGCCAUCCUCUUCAAGCAGUCGAAGUAGACAUGGUGGUUCUUUCCCCUUCAACCCCUUCAACUCGCCAACGUCCUCACCACAUGUUCCCCGAGACCACAUGUUCCCCGAGACCAACCUGACGGCUAUCCUUCUUCCCCGUGCUAUCUCCCAGUACCCACACUUUGAUCCCACGCUUGAUUGGCUUCAUAGGAGCGGACCGACCCUGAAAUUUGAUCAUUGCCUUGUCCACAGCAACAUUCUUUGAUGGAUUGUACAACUGCAGACUGAGGUGAUCAAUUAGAAGGCGGACUUUACCUAGCCUAUCAAACGUGGGACUUCCUCUUUGAGCGAGGUGUUGAUUGUUUACAAAGUGCAGGUACCGAGAGAUUUCCCUGAAGCGCUACCGAGGAAUCUUCAUCGCGAUGGGGGCAUAGUGAGUGAGAGGGUCUCUGCUCCAGUAAUCGUCAAACGAUGGUCUCCGUUGAAGAAGAGUUGAAAUAUUUGGAGUUGAAAUAUUUGGAGUGGGCAAUGGGCCAGUCUGAGAGGUGAAGGUGUUGAUUGUGGUGUUGAUUGUGACGCUUGUGAGAUUCUCGGACCAAUUGCGUUCAUCUUCGUCCUCAUCAUCGGACAAUAAUUAUGUCACCUCAUCCACAGUCAUUCUUCAAGUUUUAGAUGGUUAAAAGUUUUAGAUAGUUAGAAUUAAUUUGCAUGUAUUUAUAUUGUAUUGUUUAAUAUCUG